This 709-nucleotide ribosomal RNA is filed under the name uncultured Vibrio sp. RNAcentral describes it as "bacterial SSU rRNA". It matches the Rfam family "Bacterial small subunit ribosomal RNA", at positions 63 to 774 of the family's 1533-position model. The record is from RNAcentral. Lineage: Bacteria; Pseudomonadati; Pseudomonadota; Gammaproteobacteria; Vibrionales; Vibrionaceae.
CCUUCGGGUGACGAUAACGGCGUCGAGCGGCGGACGGGUGAGUAAUGCCUGGGAAAUUGCCCUGAUGUGGGGGAUAACCAUUGGAAACGAUGGCUAAUACCGCAUAAUAGCUUCGGCUCAAAGAGGGGGACCUUCGGGCCUCUCGCGUCAGGAUAUGCCCAGGUGGGAUUAGCUAGUUGGUGAGGUAAGGGCUCACCAAGGCGACGAUCCCUAGCUGGUCUGAGAGGAUGAUCAGCCACACUGGAACUGAGACACGGUCCAGACUCCUACGGGAGGCAGCAGUGGGGAAUAUUGCACAAUGGGCGCAAGCCUGAUGCAGCCAUGCCGCGUGUAUGAAGAAGGCCUUCGGGUUGUAAAGUACUUUCAGCAGUGAGGAAGGUAGUAGUGUUAAUAGCACUAUUAUUUGACGUUAGCUGCAGAAGAAGCACCGGCUAACUCCGUGCCAGCAGCCGCGGUAAUACGGAGGGUGCGAGCGUUAAUCGGAAUUACUGGGCGUAAAGCGCAUGCAGGUGGAUGAUUAAGUCAGAUGUGAAAGCCCGGGGCUCAACCUCGGAAUAGCGUUUGAAACUGGUUAUCUAGAGUACUGUAGAGGGGGGUAGAAUUUCAGGUGUAGCGGUGAAAUGCGUAGAGAUCUGAAGGAAUACCGGUGGCGAAGGCGGCCCCCUGGACAGAUACUGACACUCAGAUGCGAAAGCGUGGGGAGCAAACA